Molecule: ribosomal RNA, 313 nt
Filed under: uncultured bacterium
Lineage: Bacteria
Description: bacterial SSU rRNA
Rfam family: Bacterial small subunit ribosomal RNA
Source: RNAcentral
GAUGAACGCUAGCGACAGGCUUAACACAUGCAAGUCGAGGGGCAGCGGGGUAGUGCUUGCACUACUGCCGGCGACCGGCGCACGGGUGAGUAACACGUAUGGAACCUGCCCGCAGCAGGGGGAUAAGCGGAAGAAAUUCCGUCUAAUACCGCGUAACAACGCUAGGAGGCAUCUCCUGGUGUUUAAAGAUUUAUCGGCUGCGGAUGGCCAUGCGGCGCAUUAGCUAGUCGGCGGGGUAACGGCCCACCGAGGCGACGAUGCGUAGGGGUUCUGAGAGGAAGGUCCCCCACAUUGGAACUGAGACACGGUCCAA